Molecule: ribosomal RNA, 273 nt
Filed under: uncultured bacterium
Lineage: Bacteria
Description: partial 16S ribosomal RNA
Rfam family: Bacterial small subunit ribosomal RNA
Source: RNAcentral
CCGCCGGCGACCGGCGCACGGGUGAGUAACACGUAUGCAACCUGGCCGUGACAGAUGGAUAACCCGGGAGAAAUCCCGCCUAAUACAACAUAAUGCCGGGAGGGGACAUCCCCUGCCGGCCAAAGGGGCGACCCCGGUCACGGAUGGGCAUGCGGCGCAUUAGGUAGUUGGUGGGGCAACGGCCCACCAAGCCGACGAUGCGUAGGGGUUCUGAGAGGAAGGUCCCCCACAUUGGAACUGAGACACGGUCCAAACUCCUACGGGAGGCAGCAG